RNAcentral lists this long non-coding RNA (428 nucleotides) under Triticum aestivum (bread wheat). Its description in RNAcentral is "long non-coding RNA (TAES_LNC004065)". The record is from RNAcentral. Lineage: Eukaryota; Viridiplantae; Streptophyta; Magnoliopsida; Poales; Poaceae.
UUCGAGAAGCUCGCCGGCGAGGCCGCCAAGCUGGCGCGGUACAACAAGAAGCCAACCAUCACGUCCCGGGAGAUCCAGACCUCCGUCCGCCUCGUCCUCCCCGGCGAGCUCGCCAAGCACGCCGUCUCCGAGGGCACCAAGGCUGUCACCAAGUUCACCUCCUCUUAGGCUGUUCGUCUUCCUGUGUCUCGUAGUUAGCUGUUCGGGUGUGUUUGUGGCCGUGUUAUCCUGUAAGAAUCGCACCGCGAUGUUUCUGUAUCUCGAGAAAUGGUAAUGGUGCCUGCCUCAAUGUUCAGUACGUACAUGCUAGUCUUAUUUUGUUCUGGUCUUGAAUUCUUGAUCUCGAGUCAAGGUGCUGAUCCUCUCCUUUCUGAGAAUCAUGUGCUCUUAUCGGCGGUCUUAGACUUUGCUUUUCCAAAUUCUGUGUG